Molecule: ribosomal RNA, 422 nt
Filed under: Fusobacteriota bacterium
Lineage: Bacteria; Fusobacteriati; Fusobacteriota
Description: Fusobacteria bacterium partial 16S ribosomal RNA
Rfam family: Bacterial small subunit ribosomal RNA
Source: RNAcentral
UGGGGGAUUUUGCACAAUGGGCGCAAGCCUGAUGCAGCGACGCCGCGUGAGGGAUGAAGGCCUUCGGGUUGUAAACCUCUUUCGCUGGGUUGAAAGGCCAUGCUUUGGGUGUGGUUGAUUUGAACUGGUAAAGAAGUACCGGCUAACUACGUGCCAGCAGCCACGGUAAUACGUAGGGUACUAGCGUUGUCCGGAUUUAUUGGGCGUAAAGGGCUUGUAGGUGGUUUGGCGCGUCUGUCGUGAAAUCCUGUGGCUUAACCAUGGGCUUGCGGUGGGUACGGGCAGGCUUGAGUGCGGUAGGGGAGACUGGAAUUCCUGGUGUAGCGGUGGAAUGCGCAGAUAUCAGGAGGAACACCGGUGGCGAAGGCGGGUCUCUGGGCCGUUACUGACACUGAGGAGCGAAAGCGUGGGGAGCGAACAGG